GGUGACAGAUCCAGCUUGCUGGAUGCUGACGAGCGGCGGACGGGUGAGUAAUGCAUAGGAAUCUGCCCGAUAGUGGGGGAUAACCUGGGGAAACCCAGGCUAAUACCGCAUACGUCCUACGGGAGAAAGGGGGCUCCGGCUCCCGCUAUGGGAUGAGCCUAUGUCGGAUUAGCUAGUUGGUGAGGUAACGGCUCACCAAGGCCACGAUCCGUAGCUGGUCUGAGAGGAUGAUCAGCCACAUCGGGACUGAGACACGGCCCGAACUCCUACGGGAGGCAGCAGUGGGGAAUAUUGGACAAUGGGGGCAACCCUGAUCCAGCCAUGCCGCGUGUGUGAAGAAGGCCCUCGGGUUGUAAAGCACUUUCAGCGAGGAAGAACGCCUAGCGGUUAAUACCCGCUAGGAAAGACAUCACUCGCAGAAGAAGCACCGGCUAACUCCGUGCCAGCAGCCGCGGUAAUACGGAGGGUGCAAGCGUUAAUCGGAAUUACUGGGCGUAAAGCGCGCGUAGGUGGCUUGAUAAGCCGGUUGUGAAAGCCCCGGGCUCAACCUGGGAACGGCAUCCGGAACUGUCAAGCUAGAGUGCAGGAGAGGAAGGUAGAAUUCCCGGUGUAGCGGUGAAAUGCGUAGAGAUCGGGAGGAAUACCAGUGGCGAAGGCGGCCUUCUGGACUGACACUGACACUGAGGUGCGAAAGCGUGGGUAGCAAACAGGAUUAGAUACCCUGGUAGUCCACGCCGUAAACGAUGUCGACCAGCCGUUGGGUGCCUAGCGCACUUUGUGGCGAAGUUAACGCGAUAAGUCGACCGCCUGGGGAGUACGGCCGCAAGGUUAAAACUCAAAUGAAUUGACGGGGGCCCGCACAAGCGGUGGAGCAUGUGGUUUAAUUCGAUGCAACGCGAAGAACCUUACCUACUCUUGACA
Molecule: ribosomal RNA, 921 nt
Filed under: Erythrobacter sp. N40(2010)
Lineage: Bacteria; Pseudomonadati; Pseudomonadota; Alphaproteobacteria; Sphingomonadales; Erythrobacteraceae
Description: bacterial SSU rRNA
Rfam family: Bacterial small subunit ribosomal RNA
Source: RNAcentral